Non-coding RNA from Dipodomys ordii (Ord's kangaroo rat), 75 nucleotides. The record is from Rfam. NCBI's taxonomy places the organism in Eukaryota, Metazoa, Chordata, Mammalia, Rodentia, Heteromyidae.
GUGAAGUUGGCUCAGUGGUGGUAGAGUGCUUGCCUUGCAUGCAUGAGGCCCUGGGUUCGAUUCCUUAGCACCACA